UACGUAGGGUGCAAGCGUUGUCCGGAAUUAUUGGGCGUAAAGAGCUCGUAGGUGGCCUGUCGCGUCGGCUGUGAAAACUCGGGGCUCAACUCCGAGCUUGCAGUCGAUACGGGCAGGCUAGAGUUCGGCAGGGGAGACUGGAAUUCCUGGUGUAGCGGUGAAAUGCGCAGAUAUCAGGAGGAACACCGGUGGCGAAGGCGGGUCUCUGGGCCGAUACUGACACUGAGGAGCGAAAGCGUGGGUAGCAAACAGG
Molecule: ribosomal RNA, 253 nt
Filed under: uncultured bacterium
Lineage: Bacteria
Description: partial 16S ribosomal RNA
Rfam family: Bacterial small subunit ribosomal RNA
Source: RNAcentral